CCUACGGGUGGCAGCAGUGGGGAAUAUUGCACAAUGGGGGAAACCCUGAUGCAGCGACGCCGCGUGAGUGAAGAAGUAUUUCGGUAUGUAAAGCUCUAUCAGCAGGGAAGAAAAUGACGGUACCUGACUAAGAAUCCCCGUCUAACUACGUGCCAGCAGCCGCGGUAAUACGGAGGGGGUAAGCGUUAUCCGGAUUUACUGGGUGUAAAGGGAGCGUAGACGGCAGCGCAAGUCUGGAGUGAAAUCCCAUGGCUCAACCAUGGAACUGCUUUGGAAACUGUGCAGCUGGAGUGCAGGAGAGGUAGGCGGAAUUCCUAGUGUAGCGGUGAAAUGCGUAGAUAUUAGGAGGAACACCAGUGGCGAAGGCGGCUUACUGGACUGUAACUGACGCUGAGGCUCGAAAGCGUGGGGAGCAAACAGGAUUAGAUACCCUUGUAGUC
This 440-nucleotide ribosomal RNA is filed under the name uncultured bacterium. RNAcentral's name for it is "partial 16S ribosomal RNA". It matches the Rfam family "Bacterial small subunit ribosomal RNA", at positions 338 to 795 of the family's 1533-position model. The record is from RNAcentral.